AAGACUCUGCUUUCAGGGGUCAUUUCUGUGGUUUGUUACUAGAGAAGUUUCUCUGAACGUAGAGUAUCUGAAAUCAUGAGGAGGGGGCCCAGUGUUCCUGCUCCAUGUGAAGCUGGCUCUAGGUGUUGCUUCCACAACUGUUUAUUGCCAUUGAUGAUCGUUCUCUUCCUCUUUCCGGAGAAUAAAAGGAUACAGUCUGAGUGGA
Small nucleolar RNA from Ailuropoda melanoleuca (giant panda), 205 nucleotides. Its record names the gene U3. It matches the Rfam family "Small nucleolar RNA U3". From Rfam's summary of the family: Small nucleolar RNAs (snoRNAs) are involved in the processing and modification of rRNA in the nucleolus. The record is from Ensembl. NCBI's taxonomy places the organism in Eukaryota, Metazoa, Chordata, Mammalia, Carnivora, Ursidae.